GAGAGUCCUGGCAAGGGCGCAGAAACGACACAGCCUCGGGAUAACGUGAUGAUUCCCCAGGGGAUGAAGUCUCCCGAGGAUUUGGUGAAACGGCGACUCCCCACUGGAGCAAGCUCAAACGGCCGAAUCGAUCUCUCAUCGUCGGCGGGUAGAGUGCGAUAGUCGAAUGCCAUCACCGUCGCAAGACGGGAACAGAAAGGGGCUUAUGUCCUUCACCU
RNAcentral lists this RNase P RNA (218 nucleotides) under Euryarchaeota archaeon RBG_19FT_COMBO_56_21. RNAcentral's name for it is "partial RNase P RNA component". It matches the Rfam family "Archaeal RNase P", at positions 85 to 288 of the family's 288-position model. Rfam says of the family: Ribonuclease P (RNase P) is a ubiquitous endoribonuclease, found in archaea, bacteria and eukarya as well as chloroplasts and mitochondria. Its best characterised activity is the generation of mature 5'-ends of tRNAs by cleaving the 5'-leader elements of precursor-tRNAs. Cellular RNase Ps are ribonucleoproteins. The record is from RNAcentral. Lineage: Archaea; Methanobacteriati; Methanobacteriota.